GAUGAACGCUAGCGGGAGGCUUAACACAUGCAAGUCGAGCGGCAAGGUUUUCGGACCCUAGAGCGGCGCACGGGUGAGUAACGCGUAUGCAACCUACCCUAUACAGGGGGAUAGCCCGGAGAAAUUCGGAUUAAUAUCCCAUGGUACUAUUGAGUCGCAUGGCUUAAUGGUUAAAGAUUUAUCGGUAUAGGAUGGGCAUGCGUGACAUUAGUUUGUUGGCGGGGUAACGGCCCACCAAGACUACGAUGUCUAGGGGUUCUGAGAGGAUGAUCCCCCACACUGGUACUGAGACACGGACCAGACUCCUACGGGUGGCUG
RNAcentral lists this ribosomal RNA (318 nucleotides) under uncultured Bacteroidota bacterium. RNAcentral's name for it is "bacterial SSU rRNA". It matches the Rfam family "Bacterial small subunit ribosomal RNA", at positions 28 to 351 of the family's 1533-position model. Lineage: Bacteria; Pseudomonadati; Bacteroidota. The record is from RNAcentral.